UGAGGAAUAUUGGACAAUGGAGGCAACUCUGAUCCAGCCAUGCCGCGUGAAGGACUAAGGCCCUAUGGGCUGUAAACUUCUUUAGACGCAGAGCAAUAAGGGCCACGCGUGGUCCGAUGAGAGUAGCAUACGAAUAAGCAUCGGCUAACUCCGUGCCAGCAGCCGCGGUAAUACGGAGGAUGCAAGCGUUAUCCGGAUUCAUUGGGUUUAAAGGGUGCGUAGGCGGCUUGGUAAGUCAGCGGUGAAAUUCCAGUGCUCAACAUUGGCCGUGCCGUUGAUACUGCUGGGCUUGAAUGCGGAUGCCGUGGGAGGAAUGUGUGGUGUAGCGGUGAAAUGCAUAGAUAUCACACAGAACACCGAUUGCGAAGGCAUCUCACGAAUCCGCAAUUGACGCUGAGGCACGAA
RNAcentral lists this ribosomal RNA (405 nucleotides) under uncultured bacterium. Its description in RNAcentral is "bacterial SSU rRNA". It matches the Rfam family "Bacterial small subunit ribosomal RNA", at positions 355 to 757 of the family's 1533-position model. The record is from RNAcentral.